GAAAGUAAACAAGGGCGCAUGGAGGAUGCCUAGGCUCUCGGAGGCGAAGAAGGACGUGAUAAGCUGCGAAAAGUUACGGUAAGGCGCAAAUAGCCCUAGACCCGUAAAUAUCCGAAUGGGGCAACCCGGCCAGCAAUGGUCAUACCGCCAAGCGGUAAGCCAACGCGGGGAACUGAAACAUCUAAGUACCCGCAGGAAAAGAAAAUAACAAUGAUUCCGCCAGUAGUGGCGAGCGAACGCGGAACAGCCCAAACCACUCGUGUUACGGCACGAGUGGGGUAGAAGGAUCCACGAUACGGCAAGAAAUAAGUUAGCAGAAUACGAUGGAAAUCGUAGCCAAAGACGGUGACAGCCCAGUACGCGAAAACCGACAGAAGCCCAGUGGACACCUGAGUAACCCAGGACACGAGAAAUCCGGGGCGAAUCAGCGGGGCCCAUCCCGUAAGGCUAAAUACUCCCGAGAGACCGAUAGCGAACCAGUACUGUGAAGGAAAGGUGAAAAGAACCUCGAACAGAGGAGUGAAACAGACCCUGAAACCAUGCGCCUACAAGCGGUCGGAGCAUGUUAAAAUGUGACGGCGUGCCUUUUGCAUAAUGAACCUACGAGUUACUCUCGCUGGCAAGGUUAAGCGAUUCAGUCGCGCAGCCGAAGCGAAAGCAAGUCCGAACAAGGCGUACAGUCAGCGGGAGUAGACGCGAAACCAAGUGAUCUACCCUUGGUCAGGUUGAAGGUUGGGUAACACCAACUGGAGGACCGCACCGAUAAGCGUUGAAAAGCUUACGGAUGAACUGAGGGUAGGAGUGAAAGGCCAAUCAAACUUGGAGAUAGCUCGUACUCCCCGAAAUGCAUUUAGGUGCAGCCUCGAAGUAAAGUGAUAGAGGUAGAGCGACUGAUAAGAUGCGAGGGCUUCACCGCCUAUCAAGUCUUGACAAACUCCGAAUACUAUCACUUGAUCUUUGGGAGUGAGGGCAUGGGUGCUAAGGUCCAUGUCCGAAAGAGGAACAACUCAGACCACCAGCUAAGGUCCCGAAAUAAGGGCUAAGUUGAAUAAACGAAGUAAAACUGCAAAGACAGCUAGGAUGUUGGCUUGGAAGCAGCCAUUCAUUUAAAGAGUGCGUAACAGCUCACUAGUCGAGGAGUUUUGCAUGGAUAAUAAUCGGGCAUAAGCCCUUUACCGAAGCUGUGGAUGUCGUAAGACAUGGUAGGGGAGCAUUCCGGCGGCGACGAAGGCCGUCCUCGAGGACGACUGGAGCUUUCGGAAAAGCAAAUGUAGGUAUAAGUAACGAUAAAGGGGGCGUGAAACCCCCUCGCCAUAAGACUAAGGAUUCCUGAUCAACGCUAAUCGGAUCAGGGUAAGUCGGGCCCUAAGGCGCAGCCGAACGGCGUAGCCGAUGGAAGAAACGGUAAAGAUUCCGUUACUGGAUAUAGGAGCGAUGUGGAGACGGAGAAGUGACACACCCGCCUGCCGACGGAAGCGCAGGUUAAAGGAAGUAGGUAAACGCCGGGUAGGCAAAUCCGCCUGGCGUGCCGAAACUGACAGUAUCGAGAGCCCCCGGGCAAUCGAAUAGCGGUGGUAAUCAGGCUCCCAAGAAAAUCCGCUAAGCAUAUUCUAUAUCCACCCGUACCCCAAACGGACACACGUAGUCGGGUAGAAUAUACCAAGGCGCUCGAAAGACUCACGGUUAAGGAACUAGGCAAAUUGACCCUGUAACCUCGGGAAAAAGGGUCCCCAGUAAGAUGGGGCGCAGAGAAUAGGUCCAGGCAACUGUUUAACAAAAACACAGGGCUGUGCGAAAUUUCAAGAUGAAGUAUACAGCCUGACACCUGCCCGGUGCCGGAAGGUUAAGAGGAGAGCUAAUCGCAAGAGAAGGCUUGAAUUGAAGCCCCGGUAAACGGCGGCCGUAACUAUAACGGUCCUAAGGUAGCGAAAUUCCUUGUCGGGUAAGUUCCGACCUGCACGAAUGGUGUAAUGAUCUGGACACUGUCUCAACCGUGACUUCGGUGAAAUUGUAGUAUCGGUGAAGAUGCCGAUUACCCGCAACGGGACGAAAAGACCCCGUGAACCUUUACUGCAACUUAGCAUUGCGUUUGGGCAUUUGAUGUGUAGGAUAGUCCGGAGGCUACGAGUCGGCGACGCCAGUCGUCGAGGAGCCGCUGUUGAAAUACGGACCUUCGAAUGUUUGAGCGCUAACUCGCAGGAGCGAGGACACUGUUUGGUGGGUAGUUUGACUGGGGUGGUCGCCU
Molecule: ribosomal RNA, 2245 nt
Filed under: human gut metagenome
Description: bacterial LSU rRNA
Rfam family: Bacterial large subunit ribosomal RNA
Source: RNAcentral